UACGGAGGUGGCAAGCGUUGUCCGGAAUUAUUGGGCGUAAAGCGCGCGCAGGUGGUUUCUUAAGUCUGAUGUGAAAGCCCACGGCUCAACCGUGGAGGGUCAUUGGAAACUGGGAGACUUGAGUGCAGAAGAGGAUAGUGGAAUUCCAAGUGUAGCGGUGAAAUGCGUAGAUAUAUGGAGGAACACCGGUGGCGAAAGCGGCUCUCUGGUCUGUAACUGACGCUGAGGCUCGAAAGCGUGGGGAGCGAACAGG
This 253-nucleotide ribosomal RNA is filed under the name uncultured microorganism. Its description in RNAcentral is "partial 16S ribosomal RNA". It matches the Rfam family "Bacterial small subunit ribosomal RNA", at positions 524 to 776 of the family's 1533-position model. The record is from RNAcentral.